This 467-nucleotide ribosomal RNA is filed under the name uncultured bacterium. RNAcentral's name for it is "partial 16S ribosomal RNA". It matches the Rfam family "Bacterial small subunit ribosomal RNA", at positions 28 to 507 of the family's 1533-position model. The record is from RNAcentral.
GACGAACGCUGGCGGCGUGCUUAACACAUGCAAGUCGAACGGAAAGGCCUCUUUCGGGGGGUACUCGAGUGGCGAACGGGUGAGUAACACGUGAGUAACCUGCCCUUGACUUUGGGAUAACUUCAGGAAACUGGGGCUAAUACCGGAUAGGAGCUCCUGCUGCAUGGUGGGGGUUGGAAAGUUUCGGCGGUUGGGGAUGGACUCGCGGCUUAUCAGCUUGUUGGUGGGGUAGUGGCUUACCAAGGCUUUGACGGGUAGCCGGCCUGAGAGGGUGACCGGCCACAUUGGGACUGAGAUACGGCCCAGACUCCUACGGGAGGCAGCAGUGGGGAAUAUUGCACAAUGGGUGGAAGCCUGAUGCAGCAACGCCGUGUGCGGGAUGACGGCCUUCGGGUUGUAAACCGCUUUCGCUCAUGACGAAGCUUUGUGUGACGGUAGUGGGUAAAGAGGAACCGGCUAACUACGUG